GACGAACGCUGGCGGCGUGCUUAACACAUGCAAGUCGAGCGGUAAGGCCCUUUCGGGGGUACACGAGCGGCGAACGGGUGAGUAACACGUGGGUGACCUGCCCUCAGCUCUGGGACAAGCCCGGGAAACUGGGUCUAAUACCGGAUAUGACUUCAUGACGCAUGUUGUGGAGUGGAAAGCCUUGUGCGGCUGAGGAUGGGCCCGCGGCCUAUCAGCUUGUUGGUGGGGUGAGGCCUACCAAGGCAACGACGGGUAGCUGGUCUGAGAGGACGAUCAGCCACACUGGGACUGAGACACGGCCCAGACUCCUACGGGAGGCAGCAGUGGGAAUCUUGCGCAAUGGGCGAAAGCCUGACGCAGCAACGCCGCGUGCGGGAUGAA
Molecule: ribosomal RNA, 381 nt
Filed under: uncultured bacterium
Lineage: Bacteria
Description: bacterial SSU rRNA
Rfam family: Bacterial small subunit ribosomal RNA
Source: RNAcentral